This 110-nucleotide ribosomal RNA is filed under the name Labrus bergylta (ballan wrasse). Lineage: Eukaryota; Metazoa; Chordata; Actinopteri; Labriformes; Labridae. The record is from RNAcentral.
GCUUACGGCCAUACCACCCUGAACACGCCCCAAUCUCGGAAGCUAAGCAGGGUCGGGCCUGGUUAAUACUUGGAUGGGAGACCUCUUGGGAAUACCAGGUGCUGUAAGCU